GAAGGUGGGGCUCAGGGGUAGAGCGCGUGCUCAGCAUGCACGAGGUCCUGGGUUCAACCCCCAGUACCUCCG
Molecule: transfer RNA, 72 nt
Filed under: Camelus bactrianus (Bactrian camel)
Lineage: Eukaryota; Metazoa; Chordata; Mammalia; Artiodactyla; Camelidae
Also listed under: 2 other names
Rfam family: tRNA
About the family: Transfer RNA (tRNA) molecules are approximately 80 nucleotides in length. Their secondary structure includes four short double-helical elements and three loops (D, anti-codon, and T loops).
Source: Rfam by way of RNAcentral